GAUGAACGCUGGCGGCGUGCCUAAUACAUGCAAGUCGAGCGAACAGACGAAGAGCUUGCUCCUCUGACGUUAGCGGCGGACGGGUGAGUAACACGUGGAUAACCUACCUAUAAGACUGGGAUAACUUCGGGAAACCGGAGCUAAUACCGGAUAAUAUAUUGAACCGCAUGGUUCAAUAGUGAAAGACGGUUUUGCUGUCACUUAUAGAUGGAUCCGCGCCGCAUUAGCUAGUUGGUAAGGUAGCGGCUUACCAAGGCAACGAUGCGUAGCCGACCUGAGAGGGUGAUCGGCCACACUGGAACUGAGACACGGUCCAGACUCCUACGGGAGGCAGCAGUAGGGAAUCUUCCGCAAUGGGCGAAAGCCUGACGGAGCAACGCCGCGUGAGUGAUGAAGGUCUUCGGAUCGUAAAACUCUGUUAUUAGGGAAGAACAAAUGUGUAAGUAACUAUGCACGUCUUGACGGUACCUAAUCAGAAAGCCACGGCUAACUACGUG
This 497-nucleotide ribosomal RNA is filed under the name uncultured bacterium. RNAcentral's name for it is "partial 16S ribosomal RNA". It matches the Rfam family "Bacterial small subunit ribosomal RNA", at positions 28 to 507 of the family's 1533-position model. The record is from RNAcentral.